GAUGAACGCUGGCGGCGUGCCUAAUACAUGCAAGUCGAGCGAACAGACGAGGAGCUUGCUCCUCUGACGUUAGCGGCGGACGGGUGAGUAACACGUGUAUAACCUACCUAUAAGACUGGGAUAACUUCGGGAAACCGGAGCUAAUACCGGAUAAUAUCUUGAACCGCAUGGUUCAAUAGUGAAAGACGGUUUUGCUGUCACUUAUAGAUGGAUCCGCGCCGCAUUAGCUAGUUGGUAAGGUAACGGCUUACCAAGGCAACGAUGCGUAGCCGACCUGAGAGGGUGAUAGGCCACACUGGAACUGAGACACGGUCCAGACUCCUACGGGAGGCAGCAGUAGGGAAUCUUCCGCAAUGGGCGAAAGCAUGACGGAGCAACGCCGCGUGAGUGAUGAAGGUCUUCGGAUCGUAAAACUCUGUUAUUAGGGAAGAACAAAUGUGUAAGUAACUAUGCACGUCUUGACGGUACCUAAUCAGAAAGCAACGGCUAACUACGUG
Molecule: ribosomal RNA, 497 nt
Filed under: uncultured bacterium
Lineage: Bacteria
Description: partial 16S ribosomal RNA
Rfam family: Bacterial small subunit ribosomal RNA
Source: RNAcentral